This 711-nucleotide long non-coding RNA is filed under the name Mus pahari (shrew mouse). RNAcentral's name for it is "predicted gene 42825 (MGP_PahariEiJ_G0005799.1)". The record is from RNAcentral. Lineage: Eukaryota; Metazoa; Chordata; Mammalia; Rodentia; Muridae.
UCCAUCUCCUCUUGUAAAGCAUAUGCUGCUGUUUCUUCUCUCCUCUGUCACCAUAGGAAAAUAAGGUUGAAAUGUUGACUGUCUUGAUCAUGUGGAGACCCUGUGCUCUGAGUUUAUGGAUGCAAUAGUCUUUUCAUGUCUAAAAGACUAUAUUUCCAGCAUUGCUUCUUAAUAAUUGGUUCUUAUAAUCAUUUUGCCUUCUCUUCUGCAUUGUUCCCAGAGCCUGGAGAGGUGGCACUUGGUCAUCAGAAUCUGAAUACAAGAACUCAUAAGUCGUGAUGUGCCAGCCACAUUUCCCAGGUCAUCCACAGUGAUCAUCUCCUGAGUGAGGGACUAGACUAUUACUCUAUCACUCAGGAGGAAGAAGCAAAAUAAAUCCUGAGUUUGAAGGCAGUAUGGGCUCCACAAUGACUUCUAUGGAAACACUAUCUCAAAGAAACAAGCAGACAGAAGUGAAAAAAGGCAGAAUGGAAGAAAGGAAGGAAACAACCUUAAAUGGCAUGUGUUGUGGGUAGGAAAAUGGAAGGAGUAGAUCAGAGCAAGAAACUGAGAGAACACAUCUCCUACCAAAGAAAGUGAACUGGUAGUAGUGUGAAGCUAUAUCCACACAAAGCAUGACUUAGUAAUGUACUUCCUUCAGAUACACUGUGCCCCUUAAAGGUACCUUGACUUUUUUGAUCCAGAAGCACCAGCCAGAGACCAAGUGCUCAA